AUGAAUAAGCCUCGUCUGAGUUAUUGUGGCGUUGAUGAACUAGCGUUUGUGGUCAAUAAUCUUGAUUUAAGGAAGCAUAGGCCUCUAAGCAUGGAUUUUGACUGGUAUAACGAUCCUCUUAGCCCAGAACUUGUUAAACUUGCAGCUGUUAAUGUUUACUCUUACCACAAGAUUGGGAGCACAUUGCUUGGAUGGGAUGCAUCAUUCCCAUCUGAGCCAAGGUUUGAUGAAUAA
Molecule: non-coding RNA, 234 nt
Organism: Vicia faba (fava bean)
Lineage: Eukaryota; Viridiplantae; Streptophyta; Magnoliopsida; Fabales; Fabaceae
Source: the annotation of a GenBank genome assembly